GUUUCAGUUGGCAUUUCUUCCCCAAUUCAUGACAUUCUGCCUCGCGUUUGAUAUGAAAAUGGGUCAUUUGAGGGUUCCGGCUAUGUGAAAAACAAGGACUGGACCUGCGAUGCAGAAAGAAAGUUAUCAUGACUUGGACAACAAUGCAAGGAAGUGAGCUACAGUUUCAAAACAGAAAAGAGUCAAGAAAAAAAUGAAUUAAAGAUCUUAAAUUAAGUUCCUUUUGGGCUGACUUUGAAAAGCGGAACACUAAGGAGCCACCAGGAUACAACCUGCUCAGCACAAACAGAGGAGAAGUGAACAUCUCCAUUCCAUGUUGAUAUUCCAGGCACAAAAAAACCACAACAGUGCACCAGCUGAGCAUGUGUCAAUAUGGUCUGCUCUACAGCCAAAGUGGAUUAUUGAUCGUUUGGAGACAAACAGAGGUUGGGCUGUGUCUUCAUGUUUAUCCAGACGCUUAAAAAGAAUAAAGAAUGUCAUUGUCAGUAAACCUAAGAGUAACUGCUGGAUGGUUUGGUCUUAUAGCUCUGUUAGGCUGUUGUACAUAAAUCAAAGGUGAAGGCUUCAAAGACAAACCAGUCACCAGAACAUAGUAAUAAAAAAACAAGAGGGAAUAACUGCCUCUCCUACCCUCAGUGCAGUAAUUUGCUGGCGGCUGCACUGUGACAAGGGGAACCUGUGUCAGCACUCUGCCAGGAUCCUGGAAAAAUCUGACUCCAGUUUUCCUUCCUCUCCAUUUCAAUGUGCAAAUGAAGGAAUGACGAGCAAAAUAAGUCCAAAUAAUGCACUAAUUCACACAACAAGGGGGACAAAUGUCAAGAGGUCACAGACGGUGGGACGUAAAAAAAAAAAGGCAAGACAGUUUCAAGUGCCUCAACACUGGAGGUCCUUUAAAAGUUGACCAGCUUUCACAUCUCUAUGACUGAGCCUCCGUGGGACAAACACAGUGUGCAUUUUUCCUAAUGCAUCAACCUUUCUUUUCCAAACAACCUUUUAUCG
Molecule: long non-coding RNA, 999 nt
Organism: Acanthochromis polyacanthus (spiny chromis)
Lineage: Eukaryota; Metazoa; Chordata; Actinopteri; Pomacentridae
Exons: 3
Source: RefSeq, a predicted model, not a curated record